This 3048-nucleotide long non-coding RNA is filed under the name Manihot esculenta (cassava). RNAcentral's name for it is "long non-coding RNA (MESC_LNC005376)". Lineage: Eukaryota; Viridiplantae; Streptophyta; Magnoliopsida; Malpighiales; Euphorbiaceae. The record is from RNAcentral.
CCGGGAUUUAUAAAAACAUAUACUAGGGCCAAGCAAAAUUCUAAUCCAUUAAAUAAUACAUGCCAACAGCUAUUUUAUUACAAAAACUAUACCAGCUACUAUGCCGGCUUCCCGAGCUAUCUUCGACCUUGCAAACCUGGGGUUAGGGGGAAGGGAUAAGCUACAAGAGCCUAGUGAGCAGAACAUAAAAAUAGUUUAAUAAACAUAUGCUCAUAUGAAAUGCGUCACAGCACAAACAAAUCACAUCAAGAUGGACUUGUCACCAGUAACCCUCUACGUAAUCCAAUGUGCCCGGCCCACUAUGGGUGCUCCUAAGGACUUUCGCUUAAACCUAACAUAACAUAUCCAAAAUGCCAGGGGCAUAGAAUGGGCCUCACCUGAACUUCCAUACCGUAUCAUAUCAUAACUUGCUUGAGGGCUAGUGGGUCAUCCAAUAUCCAUCCUCAACAACAGUAAAUUAUGCAAUGCAUCAUAUUUCGUGAAUUCUAAUGCAAACAACCUAUUACAUAACAUGGCAUUCAUGAUGCAUGAACAUGCUCAAUGUAAUGACCCGAAAACCGGACCGCUACCGGCGCUAGGAUCCAGAUCGACUUAAGGUCGCCGGGACCUGUUGUAAGCCUACUAUACAUCCUGUCAUACCUGAUAAAUCUCAUACAUGAUCAUAUAUUUUCAUAAAAACUUUAAACUUUCACAAAUACUAAGUUUGACUUGUGCAUGCACUAUACUGUAAACAUAAAACCCCUUACUGGAGGCCUCAUCAAAUGCUCCAAUUGGGUCAACAUCUCAUACAUCAAGCUUGGUUCAACAUACCAUAACAUUAAAACAUUUACAUCAGGAUCAUGUACAACAGGGAUUAACCAUAAAUAUUAGGGCCAAGCACAAUACUAAUCAUCAUUACACUACUUUACAUUACAUCAUUUUACAUGUCAUUUCAUCACGUCCACUACUACUCUAUUACAUAGACACCUCUUUUACUCUUGACGACUUUCCGGUCUAUCCUAAACCUGCAAACCUAGGGGUUAGGGAAAGGGGUGAGCUUCUAAAGCCCAAUGAGUAUAACAGUAAAAACAAUUUAUAAAGAUAUGCCAUUAUGAAAUGCGUCACAUCACAAGUAAAUCACCUUAAGAUGGUAUUGUCACCAAUAGCCCUCUACAUAUCCAAUAAAUGCCCGGCCCUCGACGAAGCUCCUCAGGACUUCCUCUUAACAUAAUAUAACAUGUCCAACUGUGCCAGGGGCAAUUAGGCCACACCUGGUCUUCUCUUACUCUGUGCCAGGGGCGAUUAAGCCACACCUGGUCUUCUCUUACUCUGUGCCAGGGGCGAUUAGGCCACACCUGGUCUUUCUAUAUCAUAUCAUAUCAUAUCAUGUCAUAUCAUAUCGGGGGCUAAUGGAUCAUCCAAUAUCCAUCCACAACAACAAUAAAUAAUGCAAUGCAUCAUACUCGUGAAUUCUAAUGCAAAACAACCUAAUACAUAUCAUGGCAUUCGUGAUGCAUGAGUCAUGCUAAAAAGAUUUCAUUCCUUUAAAUUAAACAAGUUGUGUUCUACUCACCUCUGGCUGACGCUUUACUGACUCUGUAGCAGCUAGCUCACGGCUGACCUCCUCAGUCUCUCGGUCCGAUCCUACACAGGUAGACUCAAAUGAGGGACCAAACAUACUCUAACAUAACUCUAAACAACUCCCCAAAAACUCCCUAAAACAUCACAAAACAUUCAUAGAAAACAUGCAAAGGAAGGCUGGACAGGGCAUUUUCGGUGGCAGGUUCGGCGGCCGAAAGUCCCUCCAGAGUCGAAACUCAGGCACCUUCGGCUACACCUUUGGCGGCCGAAAGUCCCUUCCAGAUCUGAAACUCAUGUACUUUCGGCGGCAGGUUCAGCGGCCGAAACUCCCCUCCAGAGCCGAAAGUCCAACUUUCGAGGGCGAGUUUAGGCGGCCAAAACAUGCCACCACAGGCAGGUUCGGUGGCCGAACCUGAUGACUCGCGGUUGUCGAAGCCGGUCAAAAAUAACCUUUCCGGUUAUCAACAAUUUUACAACUGCAGAUAGUGGUAAAGGAUCGAAUCCACAGAGAAUUGAUUACCAAUCUAUUUUUCUCAACAAGACCAAUAAAAUUAACUGAAACAAUAAUAAAUUAAAAUGAGAUAAAAAACUGAAAGUGGGAUCAAAUGAGAUAAACUGCAAAUUGGGAUCAAAACUGUCAAUAAAAUAACAGGGGGGUUUGAGAUUGAUUGUAAUAAACUAAUAAUGAGAAUAAUAAUGGAAAGCAAAUAAUUAAAUAAAAGUAAUCAAUGAUGAGAAAGUUCUAGUUGAAGUAUUGGAUUCACUUUAGUUGUUGGGAUUGAUCACAGACACUUUGUUCUUUUGGGUUGAUUCAAUAGAUUAGUUUAUGGAGAUGGAAGACGCUUCUCACCACCAUUAUCUCUCCUUAUGAUUAAACCAAUUAGGGAACGUCCUCUAAUUAAUUACUAAUUAACAAAUUGCUAAGGAACGUCUUUGGGCCUUAAGCAUCAAAACAAUUGUCAAUUGCAUUAAGAAAUAGAGAGAUCCAAUCCUAGCUACCCAAACGUAUGGAGAUAACGCUAGAUCAUACAAUUUCCUUGGGUUUUAUCCCAAGUGUUCUCAUGUAAAAAUAACCCAAGCAAUUAUGGACUUAAAUUAUUCAAACUAACAAAUAAUUAUUUUGCAAUAAAAAAUCAACGUAGAUCUCAAUAACAAAAUAAUAUGAUAAUUAAAUAUGAAAUUGCAUGAAUAUUGAAUUCCUAAAAAUUAAAUAAUAUUUGAUCAAGUCUCACAACCCAUUAAACAACUAAAAUUUCAACCAGUAUUCAACUAGAUUAAAGAAAUCAGCCACUCAUUGGCUGAAUUAAAAACAGAAAAUUAAAAGGAAAAAAGAAAAGGAAAAGAGAGAACCGAUGGAGCGCAGAGGCUGGCGGAAUUGCCAAAUGGAAGAGAUUUUGAUGUCCCCCCUCAAGUUCACUGAAGGGCUCUUUAAAUAGGUGCAGAGGAGUGCCCCUAAUUAGGAAAAUUUCUGUUCACGUGCGGUGAGUC